This 254-nucleotide ribosomal RNA is filed under the name uncultured bacterium. RNAcentral describes it as "partial 16S ribosomal RNA". It matches the Rfam family "Bacterial small subunit ribosomal RNA", at positions 524 to 776 of the family's 1533-position model. The record is from RNAcentral.
UACGGAGGGUGCGAGCGUUGUUCGGAAUUAUUGGGCGUAAAGCGCACGUAGGCGGCCUGGUAAGUCUCACUGUGAAAGCCCGGGGCUCAACUCCGGAACUGCCUUUAAGACUGCAUCGCUUGAAUCCAGGAGAGGUGAGUGGAAUUCCGAGUGUAGAGGUGAAAUUCGUAGAUAUUCGGAAGAACACCGGUGGCGAAGGCGGCCUGCUGGGCAGUUGCUGACACUGAGGCGCGACAGCGUGGGGAGCAAACAGG